This 22-nucleotide non-coding RNA is filed under the name Arabidopsis thaliana (thale cress). The record is from RNAcentral. Lineage: Eukaryota; Viridiplantae; Streptophyta; Magnoliopsida; Brassicales; Brassicaceae.
AUCAUGUGACUGCGUUUUGCGC